This is a long non-coding RNA of Raphanus sativus (radish), 815 nucleotides long. RefSeq lists it as uncharacterized. Lineage: Eukaryota; Viridiplantae; Streptophyta; Magnoliopsida; Brassicales; Brassicaceae. The record is from RefSeq and is a predicted model, not a curated record. The transcript has 3 exons.
AUUUGCUCUAUGCUCCUUCAUCGGUUAACAUGUGUGUAUAUAUUAUUUUACGAAGAAAUAUGAUUAAAGAAGGGUAGCAUUGAAUAAAAAAGCGAACAACUUAAUUAUACUCUUCUUAUUGUUGUAUCUACUUCAGAACGAGCAAGAGACAAGUAAGUAUAUUGGAUUUGGUAAGGAAGAGGAAGAAGCAGCAGAAACAGAGGUUCUUGAGAGAUGGCCUGAAGAAGCUAGCUUUAAAGAGUGCCAAUGUCAUAAAAGGAGGUCUUAUGGCCAGUGCACGCAGGGUUAAGUCAGGCGAAAGAAGAAAUUAAAAGAAAAGAUGCUAGAUUAGCUGAAUGUUAGUGAGAUGAAACACGUAUGAAGGUCUUCAAUAAGUGAGAGUUGCUGUAAUGGAGAUAACAGAUAUUCAGUUAGAAGAGACGUGUCGGCGAUGCGAGUGACAUUGAAAAGAUGGAUUUCAUCUUGCCAUUUUCAACUUAUAGAAAAGGAAUCAUUUCAUCAUGUCGGUUUGCAAAAUAAUCAAGCUCUGAGAUAUGAUUAUGUGAAGUUCGUUGAUUCCUUUCGACUUAAAAAGCUCAUUGAUUCGAAUCAGUUCGGAAGUUCUUUUUCUUUUUACCGCAGACAGUAGAAAAUAAUUUAGCAAAUAAAAAAAAAGACAAGAAAAUAAACAUGAUUUCAUGGACGUACGCCAUUUUACAGAGCAACACUCCAAUCCUUUCUUUUAUCUCUGCUUCUGAGUUGAAAUAAUUUUCCGCUCGACGAUUUAAAAACCUUUCCGUAUUUCUAGUAAAUUUUUAAGGCAAUUAAGAUCUUCA